AUGAACGCUAGCGGCAGGCUUAACACAUGCAAGUCGAGGGGCAGCACGGGUAGCAAUACCUGGUGGCGACCGGCGCAAGGGUGCGUAACGCGUGAGCAACAUGCCCUAUACAGGGGGAUAAUCCAGGGAAACUUGGUCUAAUAUCCCAUAGCAUUUAGAGGAGGCAUCUUCACUAAAUUAAAGCUUCGGUGGUAUAGGAUUGGCUCGCGUGACGUUAGCUAGAUGGUGAGGUAACGGCCCACCAUGGCUAUGAUGUCUAGGGGUUCUGAGAGGAAGACCCCCCACACUGGGACUGAGACACGGCCCAGACUCCUACGGGAGGCAGCAGUGAGGAAUAUUGGACAAUGGAUGGAAAUCUGAUCCAGCCAUGCCGCGUGCAGGAAGACGGCCCUAUGGGUUGUAAACUGCUUUUAUAUGGGAGCAAUAAGGUUUACGAGUAGACCGAUGAGAGUACCAUAUGAAUAAGCAUCGGCUAACUCCGUG
RNAcentral lists this ribosomal RNA (483 nucleotides) under uncultured bacterium. Its description in RNAcentral is "bacterial SSU rRNA". It matches the Rfam family "Bacterial small subunit ribosomal RNA", at positions 29 to 507 of the family's 1533-position model. The record is from RNAcentral.